RNAcentral lists this transfer RNA (84 nucleotides) under Solirubrobacteraceae bacterium. RNAcentral's name for it is "tRNA-Leu". It matches the Rfam family "tRNA". From Rfam's summary of the family: Transfer RNA (tRNA) molecules are approximately 80 nucleotides in length. Their secondary structure includes four short double-helical elements and three loops (D, anti-codon, and T loops). RNAcentral also lists the same sequence under 2 other names. The record is from RNAcentral. Lineage: Bacteria; Bacillati; Actinomycetota; Thermoleophilia; Solirubrobacterales; Solirubrobacteraceae.
GCGGCUGUGGCGGAAUCGGUAGACGCGCAGGCUUCAGGUGCCUGUGUCCUCAGGGACGUGGAGGUUCAAGUCCUCUCAGCCGCA